GUCUUUUUGAUCAUAAUUUAAAGUCUGACCUGCCCAAUGAGGAUUUGAAUGGCCGCGGUAAUUUGACCGUGCAAAGGUAGCAUAAUCAUUAGUUUUUUAAUUGAAAGCUGGAAUGAACGGUUGGACGAGAAAAUGACUGUCUCAAUUUAAUUGGAAGUAGAAUUUUAUUUAUAAGUAAAAAAGCUUAUAUGAGAUUAAAAGACGAGAAGACCCUAUAGAAUUUUAUAGUGAUAUAUUUGUGUUGCGGUUAGGAUUGUAAGUUGCUAAAAUGUAAAGCUAUUUUGUUGGGGCGAUAGAAAAAUUAAUUGAACUUUUUUUUAUAUGAGGUCAUUGAUUUAUGUGUGGUUGAUCCGUUUUUUACGAUUAUAAGAUAAAAUUACCUUAGGGAUAACAGCGUAAUUUUUUUUUAGAGUUCUUAUCGAAAAAAGAGUUUGCGACCUCGAUGUUGGAUUAAAAUUAACUUUUGGUGCAGGGGCUAGAAGGUUAGGUCUGUUCGACCUUUAAAAUUUUACA
RNAcentral lists this ribosomal RNA (513 nucleotides) under Dynastes tityus. RNAcentral's name for it is "partial 16S ribosomal RNA". It matches the Rfam family "Bacterial large subunit ribosomal RNA", at positions 1819 to 2600 of the family's 2925-position model. The record is from RNAcentral. Lineage: Eukaryota; Metazoa; Arthropoda; Insecta; Coleoptera; Scarabaeidae.